This 364-nucleotide ribosomal RNA is filed under the name uncultured bacterium. Its description in RNAcentral is "bacterial SSU rRNA". It matches the Rfam family "Bacterial small subunit ribosomal RNA", at positions 541 to 907 of the family's 1533-position model. The record is from RNAcentral.
UUAUCCGGAUUCACUGGGUUUAAAGGGUGCGUAGGUGGGUUGGUAAGUCNGUGGUGAAAUCCCCGAGCUUAACUUGGGAACUGCCAUUGAUACUAUUAGUCUUGAAUACCGUGGAGGUCAGCGGAAUAUGUCAUGUAGCGGUGAAAUGCUUAGAUAUGACAUAGAACACCAAUUGCGAAGGCAGCUGGCUACACGAAUAUUGACNCUGAGGCACGAAAGCGUGGGGAUCAAACAGGAUUAGAUACCCUGGUAGUCCACGCCCUAAACUAUGNAUACUCGACAUCNGCGAUACACUGUUGGUGUCUGAGCGAAAGCAUUAAGUAUNCCACCUGGGAAGUACGAUCGCAAGAUUGAAACUCAAAGG